RNAcentral lists this unclassified non-coding RNA (338 nucleotides) under soil metagenome. Its description in RNAcentral is "partial contains 5.8S ribosomal RNA, internal transcribed spacer 2, and large subunit ribosomal RNA". The stretch from base 1 to 119 matches the Rfam family "5.8S ribosomal RNA", at positions 35 to 154 of the family's 154-position model. The record is from RNAcentral.
GAUGAAGAACGUAGCGAAAUGCGAUACGUAAUGUGAAUUGCAAAUUCAGUGAAUCAUCGAGUCUUUGAACGCACAUUGCGCCCCCUGGUAUUCCGGGGGGCAUGCCUGUUCGAGCGUCAUUUAAACCUUCAAGCUCAGCUUGGUGUUGGGUGACUGUCCGCCGCCUCCGGGCGGUCGGACUCGCCUCAAAUUGAUUGGCGGCCGGUACUUUGGCUUCGAGCGCAGCAGAAACGCGAACUCGAGGCCGUCGUCCUGGCUCCCAGAAGCUAUCUUCACAAUUUUGACCUCGGAUCAGGUAGGGAUACCCGCUGAACUUAAGCAUAUCAAUAAGCGGAGGA